GAUUUACGACUAGUUGUAAAUUACGAUUUACAUAAAUUACGAUGUUUCAAUGAAAUCGCGUUUCAUCAAGCAAAUCGUAAAUUAAAAUUACAUAAAUUUCAUACAUAAAUAUACGACUGGGUAAGGGCACCCGUAAAUUAACGUAAUGGCGGUCGUUUUUGUCAUCCAAGAUGGCAGGAGACGAACAAUUACCAAUGCCAAGGCUUUUAAGGGAGAGAUUGUUCUCGAAAACCUUAGAGAUGAGAACAUUGCUUCGAUAUAUCGUCUAAGUAAGGGCGGAAUAGAGCGAUUGUUGGUUUUGAUCGGGGAAGACAUAGCACCAACUUGCCGGCGAGCUCAUCCCUUUCAUUCCGUCGCUUAGAUUUUGGCAUAUUGCAUAUUGCCAAGGGAGAUGUUUACUGAGGAUUCCAUGCCAUUAAUAUGCAGGCUGUUGCUGAUGCCAGCAUGAGCAAUAUCUGAGCACCAAUGAUGAGGGUCAUCUGCUGGGAGAUAGUGGGUAUCCGUUAAGGACUAACCUGAUGACCCCUUAACCUCAUCCCUCCCAUGCUGCGGAACAGGCCUACAAUGACCAUCUAUGUAGAGGAUAUCUGCAUGCCACUGGUGGAUGUUGGCCUUUCAAGUCCAAUAAGUGCUGUGAAAUAUCAACUGUGUACAUGCCCCUGCAUAACCUGUGUCUGGAUUCAAACGUUCCACUGAUAGAGGAAUUGGUUGGAAAUGAGAUGGAACCGGAAGUUAUGAACAACACACCAGUACAUCGAGCAGCAUGUGAUAAGAGGCAGCAGCUGAUCAAACUGUUUCAUAAAAUGUGUUAAAAAUUUAUAGUUAUAAAUGUUAUAAAGUGAUAGAUGGCUCGAGUCUUCUCUGAAUAGGCAGAGCUACACUACUCAGCCAAAUGGCGUAAAGUUGUGUCAUAGCUGAUUUGGAAGGAUUGGUAUUCCUGGUCGUCUAGACACAAUAGUUACAACAGCUGAUGUUUGCAUGUUUUAUAAUUGUGUAUGCAUAAUUUGUCUAAUAUUUACUUCAAGGUUAUAGGUUUGUGAAAGAAAAAAAUGUCAAUGUUCUGAGGACCAAUAAAAAAAGUUAUGUGUUAGGUAUUACCAAGUGCUUGAUUUAAUAUUUAUUUUAAAGGGAACUUUUCCUAAAUUUUGGCAGAUAUUCAAGUUUUUCAUUAAACGCUUUUAUAUUGAUACAUGUAAACACUGGAUCUAAAAAGCUCCAGUAAAAAAAGAAUACAAUUAAAGAAAGAUAAAAAGUAACUCCUACAGGGCUCAAACCACUGACCCCUGAAGUAAAAGCCUCACACUAAGACCACUUGUCCGUCCAUGUUGAUACAAUGAGUGAUGUAUUUUACACUUUAUAUAAGCAAUCCUCAUCUUGCAUAUAAUGGAUAUUUUAGAGCAUGGUAAAUGUUCAGUAUUACUGUUUCCUCACAAAUAUCAUAACUACAACAAAUGUUUGCGAAUCUUAAACUUAUUUUUUUUAAUUUAGUAAAUUUACCAAAACUGGAAAAGGUCCCUUGAAUAUUGAACAGUUAUCUGAGCUCCAGAAAAGAUCAUAUACUCAAGGUACUUUUCCCCAUUAACAAUUAUUCAAGUGAUAUUUUACCCACUGACUUUCGCUCUAAAAGGUGU
Long non-coding RNA from Dreissena polymorpha, 1631 nucleotides. RefSeq lists it as uncharacterized. The transcript is spliced from 5 exons. NCBI's taxonomy places the organism in Eukaryota, Metazoa, Mollusca, Bivalvia, Myida, Dreissenidae. The record is from RefSeq and is a predicted model, not a curated record.